This 464-nucleotide ribosomal RNA is filed under the name uncultured bacterium. Its description in RNAcentral is "partial 16S ribosomal RNA". It matches the Rfam family "Bacterial small subunit ribosomal RNA", at positions 339 to 795 of the family's 1533-position model. The record is from RNAcentral.
CUACGGGACGCUCCAGUGGGGAAUAUUGGACAAUGGGCGCAAGCCUGAUCCAGCAAUACCGCGUGUGUGAAGAAGGCCUGCGGGUUGUAAAGCACUUUCAAUUGUGAAGAAAAGCGAGAGGUUAAUAGCCUUUUGUCUUGACGUUAACUUUAGAAGAAGCACCGGCUAACUCUGUGCCAGCAGCCGCGGUAAUACAGAGGGUGCGAGCGUUAAUCGGAAUUACUGGGCGUAAAGCGUGCGUAGGCGGUUUAGUAAGUCAGAUGUGAAAGCCCUGGGCUCAACCUGGGAACUGCAUUUGAAACUGCUGAACUCGAGUGUGGUAGAGGGAAGUGGAAUUCCGGGUGUAGCGGUGAAAUGCGUAGAUAUCCGGAGGAACACCAGUGGCGAAGGCGACUUCCUGGACCAACACUGACGCUGAGGUACGAAAGCGUGGGUAGCAAACAGGAUUAGAUACCCGUGUAGUC